RNAcentral lists this ribosomal RNA (2926 nucleotides) under Staphylococcus epidermidis. Its description in RNAcentral is "bacterial LSU rRNA". It matches the Rfam family "Bacterial large subunit ribosomal RNA". The record is from RNAcentral. Lineage: Bacteria; Bacillati; Bacillota; Bacilli; Caryophanales; Staphylococcaceae.
AGAUUAAGUUAUUAAGGGCGCACGGUGGAUGCCUUGGCACUAGAAGCCGAUGAAGGACGUUACUAACGACGAUAUGCUUUGGGUAGCUGUAAGUAAGCGUUGAUCCAGAGAUUUCCGAAUGGGGGAACCCAGCAUGAGUUAUGUCAUGUUAUCGACAUGUGAAUUCAUAGCAUGUCAGAAGGCAGACCCGGAGAACUGAAACAUCUUAGUACCCGGAGGAAGAGAAAGAAAAAUCGAUUCCCUGAGUAGCGGCGAGCGAAACGGGAAGAGCCCAAACCAACAAGCUUGCUUGUUGGGGUUGUAGGACACUCUAUACGGAGUUACAAAAGAACGUGUUAGACGAAUCAUCUGGAAAGAUGAAUCAAAGAAGGUAAUAAUCCUGUAGUCGAAAACAUAUUCUCUCUUGAGUGGAUCCUGAGUACGACGGAGCACGUGAAAUUCCGUCGGAAUCUGGGAGGACCAUCUCCUAAGGCUAAAUACUCUCUAGUGACCGAUAGUGAACCAGUACCGUGAGGGAAAGGUGAAAAGUACCCCGGAAGGGGAGUGAAAGAGAACUUGAAACCGUGUGCUUACAAGUAGUCAGAGCCCGUUAAUGGGUGAUGGCGUGCCUUUUGUAGAAUGAACCGGCGAGUUACGAUCUGAUGCAAGGUUAAGCAGCAAAUGUGGAGCCGCAGCGAAAGCGAGUCUGAAUAGGGCGUUGAGUAUUUGGUCGUAGACCCGAAACCAGGUGAUCUACCCUUGGUCAGGUUGAAGUUCAGGUAACACUGAAUGGAGGACCGAACCGACUUACGUUGAAAAGUGAGCGGAUGAACUGAGGGUAGCGGAGAAAUUCCAAUCGAACUUGGAGAUAGCUGGUUCUCUCCGAAAUAGCUUUAGGGCUAGCCUCAAGUGAUGAUUAUUGGAGGUAGAGCACUGUUUGGACGAGGGGCCCCUCUCGGGUUACCGAAUUCAGACAAACUCCGAAUGCCAAUUAAUUUAACUUGGGAGUCAGAACAUGGGUGAUAAGGUCCGUGUUCGAAAGGGAAACAGCCCAGACCACCAGCUAAGGUCCCAAAAUAUAUGUUAAGUGGAAAAGGAUGUGGCGUUGCCCAGACAACUAGGAUGUUGGCUUAGAAGCAGCCAUCAUUUAAAGAGUGCGUAAUAGCUCACUAGUCGAGUGACACUGCGCCGAAAAUGUACCGGGGCUAAACAUAUUACCGAAGCUGUGGAUUGUCCUUUGAACAAUGGUAGGAGAGCGUUCUAAGGGCGUCGAAGCAUGAUCGCAAGGACAUGUGGAGCGCUUAGAAGUGAGAAUGCCGGUGUGAGUAGCGAAAGACGGGUGAGAAUCCCGUCCACCGAUUGACUAAGGUUUCCAGAGGAAGGCUCGUCCGCUCUGGGUUAGUCGGGUCCUAAGCUGAGGCCGACAGGCGUAGGCGAUGGAUAACAGGUUGAUAUUCCUGUACCACCUAGUAUCGUUUUAAUCGAUGGGGGGACGCAGUAGGAUAGGCGAAGCGUGCUGUUGGAGUGCACGUCCAAGCAGUAAGGCUGAGUGUUAGGCAAAUCCGACACUCAUAAGGCUGAGCUGUGAUGGGGAGAGGAAAUUGUUUCCUCGAGUCGUUGAUUUCACACUGCCGAGAAAAGCCUCUAGAUAGAUAACAGGUGCCCGUACCGCAAACCGACACAGGUAGUCAAGAUGAGAAUUCUAAGGUGAGCGAGCGAACUCUCGUUAAGGAACUCGGCAAAAUGACCCCGUAACUUCGGGAGAAGGGGUGCUCUUUAGGGUUCACGCCCAGAAGAGCCGCAGUGAAUAGGCCCAAGCGACUGUUUAUCAAAAACACAGGUCUCUGCUAAACCGUAAGGUGAUGUAUAGGGGCUGACGCCUGCCCGGUGCUGGAAGGUUAAGAGGAGUGGUUAGCUUCUGCGAAGCUACGAAUCGAAGCCCCAGUAAACGGCGGCCGUAACUAUAACGGUCCUAAGGUAGCGAAAUUCCUUGUCGGGUAAGUUCCGACCCGCACGAAAGGCGUAACGAUUUGGGCACUGUCUCAACGAGAGACUCGGUGAAAUCAUAGUACCUGUGAAGAUGCAGGUUACCCGCGACAGGACGGAAAGACCCCGUGGAGCUUUACUGUAGCCUGAUAUUGAAAUUCGGCACAGCUUGUACAGGAUAGGUAGGAGCCUUUGAAACGUGAGCGCUAGCUUACGUGGAGGCGUUGGUGGGAUACUACCCUAGCUGUGUUGGCUUUCUAACCCGCACCACUUAUCGUGGUGGGUGACAGUGUCAGGCGGGCAGUUUGACUGGGGCGGUCGCCUCCUAAAAGGUAACGGAGGCGCUCAAAGGUUCCCUCAGAAUGGUUGGAAAUCAUUCAUAGAGUGUAAAGGCAUAAGGGAGCUUGACUGCGAGACCUACAAGUCGAGCAGGGUCGAAAGACGGACUUAGUGAUCCGGUGGUUCCGCAUGGAAGGGCCAUCGCUCAACGGAUAAAAGCUACCCCGGGGAUAACAGGCUUAUCUCCCCCAAGAGUUCACAUCGACGGGGAGGUUUGGCACCUCGAUGUCGGCUCAUCGCAUCCUGGGGCUGUAGUCGGUCCCAAGGGUUGGGCUGUUCGCCCAUUAAAGCGGUACGCGAGCUGGGUUCAGAACGUCGUGAGACAGUUCGGUCCCUAUCCGUCGUGGGCGUAGGAAAUUUGAGAGGAGCUGUCCUUAGUACGAGAGGACCGGGAUGGACAUACCUCUGGUGUACCAGUUGUCGUGCCAACGGCAUAGCUGGGUAGCUAUGUAUGGACGGGAUAAGUGCUGAAAGCAUCUAAGCAUGAAGCCCCCCUCAAGAUGAGAUUUCCCAACUUCGGUUAUAAGAUCCCUCGAAGAUGACGAGGUUAAUAGGUUCGAGGUGGAAGCGUGGUGACACGUGGAGCUGACGAAUACUAAUCGAUCGAAGACUUAAUCAAUUU